GAUGAACGCUGGCGGCGUGCCUAACACAUGCAAGUCGAGCGAUUCACUUCGGUGAAGAGCGGCGGACGGGUGAGUAACGCGUGGGUAACCUGCCUCAUACACAUGGAUAACAUACCGAAAGGUAUGCUAAUACAAGAUGAUAUAAGAGAUUCGCAUGGAUUUCUUAUCAAAGCUCCGGCGGUAUGAGAUGGACCCGCGUCUGAUUAGCUAGUUGGUAAGGUAACGGCUUACCAAGGCGACGAUCAGUAGCCGACCUGAGAGGGUGAUCGGCCACAUUGGAACUGAGACACGGUCCAAACUCCUACGGGAGGCAGCAGUGGGGAAUAUUGCACAAUGGGCGAAAGCCUGAUGCAGCAACGCCGCGUGAGCGAUGAAGGCCUUCGGGUCGUAAAGCUCUGUCCUCAAGGAAGAUAAUGACGGUACUUGAGGAGGAAGCCCCGGCUAACUACGUGCCAGCAGCCGCGGUAAUACGUAGGGGGCUAGCGUUAUCCGGAUUUACUGGGCGUAAAGGGUGCGUAGGUGGUUUCUUAAGUCAGGAGUGAAAGGCUACGGCUCAACCGUAGUAAGCUCUUGAAACUGGGAAACUUGAGUGCAGGAGAGGAAAGUGGAAUUCCUAGUGUAGCGGUGAAAUGCGUAGAUAUUAGGAGGAACACCAGUAGCGAAG
This 664-nucleotide ribosomal RNA is filed under the name uncultured Clostridium sp. RNAcentral describes it as "bacterial SSU rRNA". It matches the Rfam family "Bacterial small subunit ribosomal RNA", at positions 28 to 720 of the family's 1533-position model. Lineage: Bacteria; Bacillati; Bacillota; Clostridia; Eubacteriales; Clostridiaceae. The record is from RNAcentral.